AAGCGCUUUGUUAGCAAUUAUACCGUGAAACUGCGAAUGGCUCAUUAAAUCAGUUAUCGUUUAUUUGAUAAUACCUUACUACUUGGAUAACCGUGGUAAUUCUAGAGCUAAUACAUGCUGAAAAUCCCGACUUCGGAAGGGAUGUGUUUAUUAGAUAAAAAACCAAUGCCCUUCGGGGCUUUUUGGUGAUUCAUGAUAACUUUACGGAUCGCAUAGCCUUGCGCUGGCGACGGUUCAUUCAAAUUUCUGCCCUAUCAACUUUCGAUGGUAAGGUAUUGGCUUACCAUGGUUUCAACGGGUAACGGGGAAUUAGGGUUCGAUUCCGGAGAGGGAGCCUGAGAAACGGCUACCACAUCCAAGGAAGGCAGCAGGCGCGCAAAUUACCCAAUCCCGACACGGGGAGGUAGUGACAAUAAAUACUGAUACAGGGCUCUUUUGGGUCUUGUAAUUGGAAUGAGUACAAUUUAAACCUCUUAACGAGGAACAAUUGGAGGGCAAGUCUGGUGCCAGCAGCCGCGGUAAUUCCAGCUCCAAUAGCGUAUAUUAAAGUUGUUGCAGUUAAAAAGCUCGUAGUUGAAACUUGGGCCUGGCCUGGCGGGUCCGCCUCACCGCGUGCACUCGUCCGGCCGGGCCUUCCUUCUGAAGAACCUCAUGCCCUUCACUGGGCGGUGCUGGGGAAUCCAGGACUUUUACUUUGAAAAAAUUAGAGUGUUCAAAGCAGGCCUUUGCUCGAAUACGUUAGCAUGGAAUAAUAAAAUAGGGGCGUGCGUUUCUAUUUUUGUUGGUUUCUAGAGACGCCGCAAUGAUUAACAGGAACAGUCGGGGGCAUUCAGUAUUCAGUUUGUCAGAGGUGAAAUUCUUGGGAUUUACUGAAGACUAACUACUGCGAAAGCUUUUGCCAAGGAUGUUUUCAUUAAUCAGUGAACGAAAGUUAGGGGGAUCGAGACGAUCAGAAAACCGUCGUAGUCUUAACCGGAAACUAUGCCGACUAGGGG
Molecule: ribosomal RNA, 995 nt
Filed under: Alternaria alternata
Lineage: Eukaryota; Fungi; Ascomycota; Dothideomycetes; Pleosporales; Pleosporaceae
Description: SSU rRNA
Rfam family: Eukaryotic small subunit ribosomal RNA
Source: RNAcentral